RNAcentral lists this ribosomal RNA (485 nucleotides) under uncultured bacterium. Its description in RNAcentral is "bacterial SSU rRNA". It matches the Rfam family "Bacterial small subunit ribosomal RNA", at positions 30 to 508 of the family's 1533-position model. The record is from RNAcentral.
AUUGAACGCUGGCGGAAUGCUUUACACAUGCAAGUCGAACGGCAGCACGGGGGCAACCCUGGUGGCGAGUGGCGAACGGGUGAGUAAUACAUCGGAACGUGCCCAGUCGUGGGGGAUAACUACGCGAAAGCGUAGCUAAUACCGCAUACGAUCUACGGAUGAAAGCGGGGGAUCGCAAGACCUCGCGCGAUUGGAGCGGCCGAUGGCAGAUUAGGUAGUUGGUGGGGUAAAGGCUCACCAAGCCGACGAUCUGUAGCUGGUCUGAGAGGACGACCAGCCACACUGGGACUGAGACACGGCCCAGACUCCUACGGGAGGCAGCAGUGGGGAGUUUUGGACAAUGGGCGCAAGCCUGAUCCAGCCAUUCCGCGUGCAGGAUGAAGGCCCUCGGGUUGUAAACUGCUUUUGUACGGAACGAAAAGCCUUCUUCUAAUACAGGAGGGUCAUGACGGUACCGUAAGAAUAAGCACCGGCUAACUACGUGC